UGCAGCCGGGUAAAGAAUCUUCCACAAUGGGCGCAAGCCUGAUGGAGCAACACCGCGUGAGUGAAGAAGGGUUUCGGCUCGUAAAGCUCUGUUGUUAAAGAAGAACACGUAUGAGAGUAACUGUUCAUACGUUGACGGUAUUUAACCAGAAAGUCACGGCUAACUACGUGCCAGCAGCCGCGGUAAUACGUAGGUGGCAAGCGUUAUCCGGAUUUAUUGGGCGUAAAGAGAGUGCAGGCGGUUUUCUAAGUCUGAUGUGAAAGCCUUCGGCUUAACCGGAGAAGUGCAUCGGAAACUGGAUAACUUGAGUGCAGAAGAGGGUAGUGGAACUCCAUGUGUAGCGGUGGAAUGCGUAGAUAUAUGGAAGAACACCAGUGGCGAAGGCGGCUACCUGGUCUGCAACUGACGCUGAGACUCGAAAGCAUGGGUAGCGAACAGGAUUAGAUACCCUGGUAGUCCAUGCCGUAAACGAUGAGUGCUAGGUGUUGGAGGGUUUCCGCCCUUCAGUGCCGGAGCUAACGCAUUAAGCACUCCGCCUGGGGAGUACGACCGCAAGGUUGAAACUCAAAGGAAUUGACGGGGGCCCGCACAAGCGGUGGAGCAUGUGGUUUAAUUCGAAGCUACGCGAAGAACCUUACCAGGUCUUGACAUCUUGCGCCAACCCUAGAGAUAGGGCGUUUCCUUCGGGAACGCAAUGACAGGUGGUGCAUGGUCGUCGUCAGCUCGUUGUGCGA
This 734-nucleotide ribosomal RNA is filed under the name Limosilactobacillus fermentum. RNAcentral's name for it is "bacterial SSU rRNA". It matches the Rfam family "Bacterial small subunit ribosomal RNA", at positions 347 to 1070 of the family's 1533-position model. The record is from RNAcentral. Lineage: Bacteria; Bacillati; Bacillota; Bacilli; Lactobacillales; Lactobacillaceae.